GCUGACACAUCCCAGCCAAUCUCCAGCAGACCCUCCCUCCCAGACCCUCCCACCUCCUGGACAGCAUCCAUGUUGAAGGCAGCUUCAACAUGGAUGCUGUCCAGGAGGUGGGAGGGUCUGGGAGAGAGGGUCUGCUGGAGAUUGGCCGGGAUGUGCCAG
Molecule: non-coding RNA, 159 nt
Organism: Pelobates cultripes (western spadefoot toad)
Lineage: Eukaryota; Metazoa; Chordata; Amphibia; Anura; Pelobatidae
Source: the annotation of a GenBank genome assembly